UGUCCAUGAUUUUAUUUCUAUUAAAAAAAAAAUUGAAUUUUUCAAUUUAAGUUAUAUACGAAUACACUACUAUGAAUAAAUCAUUCACAUAUUAUUGAUAUUGAAUUUAUCUUUGAAAAGAAUAAUUUCCAAUGUCUACGAAAUGCCAUGCUUGUUGCAGGGCCAAUGCAAUUUACUGAACUGGCAGAUGACUAAGAAGCGCGGGAAGAAUUCAUAAUGAAAGAUGCGCGCGCAAGAUUCUUCGUAAAGGGAUGUAAAAACAAAUUUCAACGUCAACUUAUGGCACGAUGGAAAUUAAGAGAAGAAAACAGGCAAAGAAGAGAAAACGGGUAAAGGAACAACGAUGGAUAUUUAGGAUGGAGCAUUGGCGCGAACCAUAAAGGGAACCACUCGAAAGAAGAAGAAGAAGAAGAAGAAGACGAAGAACAUCUUCUGAAGAGUGCUUGAGAUUUACGAGAAAAUAGAGCGUGAUUCUGGAACUAUGGUUGGUUGGAUUUUUAUGAGACUUACGGUAC
Apis dorsata (giant honeybee) is the source of this 515-nucleotide long non-coding RNA. RefSeq lists it as uncharacterized. The record is from RefSeq and is a predicted model, not a curated record. NCBI's taxonomy places the organism in Eukaryota, Metazoa, Arthropoda, Insecta, Hymenoptera, Apidae. The transcript is spliced from 2 exons.